AUUGAACGCUGGCGGCAGGCUUAACACAUGCAAGUCGAACGAGUGGCGGACGGGUGAGUAAUGCUUGGGAAUCUAGCUUAUGGAGGGGGAUAACUACGGGAAACUGUAGCUAAUACCGCGUACCAUAGGAUGAGCCCAAGUGGGAUGAGGUAGUUGGUGAGGAAAAGGCUCACCAAGCGGACGAUCUCUAGCUGGGCUGAGAGGAGGACCGGCCAAACUGGGACGGAGACACGGCCCAGACUCCUACGGGAGGCAGCAGUGGGGAAUAUUGCGCAAUGGGGGCAACCUGACGCAGCCAGGCCGCGUGAAUGAAGAAGGCCUUCGGGUUGUAAAGUUCUUUCGGUAGCGAGGCGUUAACUACAGAAGAAGCACCGGCUAACUCCGUGCCAGCAGCCGCGGUAAUAC
This 405-nucleotide ribosomal RNA is filed under the name uncultured bacterium. RNAcentral's name for it is "partial 16S ribosomal RNA". It matches the Rfam family "Bacterial small subunit ribosomal RNA", at positions 29 to 526 of the family's 1533-position model. The record is from RNAcentral.